GUCUUGAAACACGGACCAGGGAGUCUAGCAUGUGCGCGAGUCAUUGGGAAAACUAAACCUAAAGGCGCAAUGAAAGUGAAGGUCCGCCUCGCGCGGACCGAGGGAGGAUGGGCGGAUGUCCACCGCAAGAUGGCCCGCCCCGCACUCCCGGGGCGUCUCGUUCUCAUUGCGAGAAGAGGCGCACCAAGAGCGUACACGCUGGGACCCGAAAGAUGGUGAACUAUGCCUGGUCAGGACGAAGUCAGGGGAAACCCUGAUGGAGGUCCGUAGCGAUUCUGACGUGCAAAUCGAUCGUCGGAACUGGGUAUAGGGGCGAAAGACUAAUCGAACCAUCUAGUAGCUGGUUCCCUCCGAAGUUUCCCUCAGGAUAGCUGGCGCUCGUCGCCUACGAGUCUCAUCCGGUAAAGCGAAUGAUUAGAGGCAUUGGGGUCGAAACGGCCUCAACCUAUUCUCAAACUUUAAAUGGGUGAGAUCUCCGGCUUGCUCGAACUAUUGAAGCCGCGAGACACGGAUCAGAGUGCCAAGUGGGCCAUUUUUGGUAAGCAGAACUGGCGCUGUGGGAUGAACCAAACGCCGAGUUAAAGCGCCUAAAUCGACGCUUAUGGGAUACCAUGAAAGGCGUUGGUAACUUAAGACAGCAGGACGGUGGCCAUGGAAGUCGGAAUCCGCUAAGGAGUGUGUU
This 682-nucleotide ribosomal RNA is filed under the name Cymatodera decipiens. RNAcentral describes it as "eukaryotic LSU rRNA". It matches the Rfam family "Eukaryotic large subunit ribosomal RNA", at positions 651 to 1284 of the family's 3401-position model. The record is from RNAcentral. Lineage: Eukaryota; Metazoa; Arthropoda; Insecta; Coleoptera; Cleridae.